AAGAAGCGAAGCGGUGACGUGGAGGCAAACCUCAGAAAGCCAAUCUCAGUUCGGAUUGUAGGCUGCAACUCGCCUACAUGAAGUUGGAAUCGCUAGUAAUCGCGAAUCAGAAUGUCGCGGUGAAUACGUUCCCGGGUCUUGUACACACCGCCCGUCACACCACGAGAGUUUACAACACCCGAAGUCAGUGGCCUAACCGCAAGGAGGGAGCUGCCUAAGGUGGGGUAGAUGAUUGGGGUGAAGUCGUAACAAGGUAAC
RNAcentral lists this ribosomal RNA (258 nucleotides) under uncultured bacterium. Its description in RNAcentral is "partial 16S ribosomal RNA". It matches the Rfam family "Bacterial small subunit ribosomal RNA", at positions 1244 to 1500 of the family's 1533-position model. The record is from RNAcentral.